This 704-nucleotide ribosomal RNA is filed under the name Klebsiella pneumoniae. RNAcentral's name for it is "bacterial LSU rRNA". It matches the Rfam family "Bacterial large subunit ribosomal RNA", at positions 2239 to 2925 of the family's 2925-position model. Lineage: Bacteria; Pseudomonadati; Pseudomonadota; Gammaproteobacteria; Enterobacterales; Enterobacteriaceae. The record is from RNAcentral.
CCGGGGUUGCGGACAGUGUCUGGUGGGUAGUUUGACUGGGGCGGUCUCCUCCCAAAGCGUAACGGAGGAGCACGAAGGUUAGCUAAUCCUGGUCGGACAUCAGGAGGUUAGUGCAAUGGCAUAAGCUAGCUUGACUGCGAGCGUGACGGCGCGAGCAGGUGCGAAAGCAGGUCAUAGUGAUCCGGUGGUUCUGAAUGGAAGGGCCAUCGCUCAACGGAUAAAAGGUACUCCGGGGAUAACAGGCUGAUACCGCCCAAGAGUUCAUAUCGACGGCGGUGUUUGGCACCUCGAUGUCGGCUCAUCACAUCCUGGGGCUGAAGUAGGUCCCAAGGGUAUGGCUGUUCGCCAUUUAAAGUGGUACGCGAGCUGGGUUUAGAACGUCGUGAGACAGUUCGGUCCCUAUCUGCCGUGGGCGCUGGAGAAUUGAGGGGGGCUGCUCCUAGUACGAGAGGACCGGAGUGGACGCAUCACUGGUGUUCGGGUUGUCAUGCCAAUGGCACUGCCCGGUAGCUAAAUGCGGAAGAGAUAAGUGCUGAAAGCAUCUAAGCACGAAACUUGCCCCGAGAUGAGUUCUCCCUGAGACUAUAAGUCUCCUGAAGGAACGUUAAAGACGAUGACGUUGAUAGGCCGGGUGUGUAAGCGCAGCGAUGCGUUGAGCUAACCGGUACUAAUGAACCGUGAGGCUUAACCUUACAACGCCGAAG